RNAcentral lists this long non-coding RNA (299 nucleotides) under Fukomys damarensis (Damara mole-rat). RNAcentral's name for it is "lncRNA (ENSFDAG00000023787.1)". The record is from RNAcentral. Lineage: Eukaryota; Metazoa; Chordata; Mammalia; Rodentia; Bathyergidae.
AUAAUAUUAAUGAAUUCUUUAAAAAGUAGAAGAAAAGGAAAGCCAUUGACAGGCAAAUCUUUUCCCUGCAGUGUGAAGACUUCAUAAAGAAAUUCAAUUCUGCCAUGGCAAGUAAAAAAGCUUGAAGUUGGGCUUCCUCCAGCCCAGAAUGCUGCUGAAGUGCAGACAGCAUAUCUAAUGCAAGCUCCACUUCAAACCCUCGGGGCUGGCUCGCACUGUAACAGGCAGACAGUAAGAAUGCACACCCACGGUCACCCGUACUGGUAACAGACUUUAAGUGUGUGCUCCACCCCGGCGGC